This 77-nucleotide transfer RNA is filed under the name bacterium. Its description in RNAcentral is "tRNA-Val". It matches the Rfam family "tRNA". Rfam says of the family: Transfer RNA (tRNA) molecules are approximately 80 nucleotides in length. Their secondary structure includes four short double-helical elements and three loops (D, anti-codon, and T loops). The record is from RNAcentral.
GGGGUUAUAGCUCAGUUGGCUAGAGCGCUACAUUGACAUUGUAGAGGUCUCAGGUUCAAGUCCUGAUAACCCCACCA